Molecule: transfer RNA, 71 nt
Filed under: Marmota monax (woodchuck)
Lineage: Eukaryota; Metazoa; Chordata; Mammalia; Rodentia; Sciuridae
Description: tRNA.Ala
Rfam family: tRNA (bases 6-66)
About the family: Transfer RNA (tRNA) molecules are approximately 80 nucleotides in length.
Source: RNAcentral
GGGGUUGUGGCUCAGUGGUAGAGCACUUGUCUAGCAUGCAUGAAGCACUGGGUUGGAUCCCCAGCACUACA